UACGGAGGAUGCGAGCGUUAUCCGGAUUUAUUGGGUUUAAAGGGUGCGUAGGCGGACUGUUAAGUCAGCGGUAAAAGCCCGGGGCUCAACCCCGGCGAGCCGUUGAAACUGACGGUCUUGAGUGGGCGAGAAGUAUGCGGAAUGCGCGGUGUAGCGGUGAAAUGCAUAGAUAUCGCGCAGAACUCCGAUUGCGAAGGCAGCGUACCGGCGCCGGACUGACGCUGAGGCACGAAAGCGUGGGUAUCGAACAGG
This 252-nucleotide ribosomal RNA is filed under the name uncultured Bacteroidales bacterium. RNAcentral describes it as "partial 16S ribosomal RNA". It matches the Rfam family "Bacterial small subunit ribosomal RNA", at positions 524 to 776 of the family's 1533-position model. The record is from RNAcentral. Lineage: Bacteria; Pseudomonadati; Bacteroidota; Bacteroidia; Bacteroidales.